AUCACGGGACAGCGUCACGACCUCAAGUGUAUCGAUGACUCCAGCUUUAUUAUCAUCUCUAAUAAAUACAGAUGAUUAACAUGAUUAACGCAGCAGGGUCGUAACAGACAAUAAAACAAUCACACUCUGGAUGUCGUUACCGUGACAAAUGAAGCCGCUUCAGUGACUCCAGUGCAAAAUCAUCACUUCCAAAGAACAGUAUUCUCCAGGGCGGUUUAGACGCAGACUGUGUUUGAGUUACAAAAGAUUUGCUUCUGCCCAAGAGAUAUAAGCCUCUUCUGUGGCGUGUGAAACAGAUGCUACAAAGUCUUUGAGACAGCAAACGUCCUGGGUCUGUGAGUUUUAAGAAGUUUAAGUUCCACAUAUUUUAAUGUAAGAUUUCAUAAAUGACAGAAACUGUCAUUAACAGCUAGCAAAGUACAAAACCAUCACUCCUCCAUUAACGAAUAAGCACGCAGAAGUCAAGAGAGUCAUGCUAAUAUUCUAUGACAACUUCAGUGGUGUCGUCCUCAAGGACUUUGGACGGAGUGAGGGGUUCCAGCUGGGAGUCUGCGUUCCCUGCCUCCAAUCCAUCAGUUUUACACAGAAAAUCAGAGGGAGUUACGGCACCUUCAUCAGCCAGGGCAGAAAUGGGGCAGACUGGAGCCUCGGCGGGUGACUGAGGAGGAAGACUCUUAGGGGAUUCUUCUACUGAUGCCUCGUUGGUGGUGGCCUCCUCCAUGUCCUCCUUCACCUCAUCCUGGUCACUUUUGUCAGCUUCAGGAGCCUCUGACCCAUCCUCCAUUACGGUGUCCUUAUCUGGUAUUGUUUGUAUUUCACUGCUCUGAAUGGGUUUGGUCUCAUCUCUGGCCUCAGUAUCUGGUUCGAUGGGAACUAGUUGUUUGGAGUCAUCAUGGACAUCCUCUGAGCUGCAUUAUAAGAUCGAGAUACAUUAAUGUUUAUUAUCAUGUAAAAGGUCCCAUGAAAUUAAAAUAAAGUUUUUUAGUAUCA
This is a long non-coding RNA of Danio aesculapii, 990 nucleotides long. RefSeq lists it as uncharacterized. The record is from RefSeq and is a predicted model, not a curated record. The transcript is spliced from 2 exons. NCBI's taxonomy places the organism in Eukaryota, Metazoa, Chordata, Actinopteri, Cypriniformes, Danionidae.